Molecule: ribosomal RNA, 774 nt
Filed under: uncultured Neocallimastigales
Lineage: Eukaryota; Fungi; Neocallimastigomycota; Neocallimastigomycetes; Neocallimastigales
Description: partial large subunit ribosomal RNA
Rfam family: Eukaryotic large subunit ribosomal RNA
Source: RNAcentral
CGCAUCUGUGCAUGCAGCAUAUCAAUAAGCGGAGGAAAAGAAACUAACAAGGAUUCCCCUAGUAACGGCGAGUGAAGCGGGAAGAGCUCAAAUUUGAAAUCUUAAAGGGUUUCCCUUUACGAAUUGUAGUUUAAAGAAGUGUUUUCUGUUGAGGUUUUGGUAAAAGUUCUUUGGAAUAGGACAUCAUAGAGGGUGAGAAUCCCGUAUUUGACCUUUACUUUCAACUUUGUGAUACACUUUCAAAGAGUCGGAUUGUUUGGGAAUGCAGUCCAAAAUGGGUGGUAAAUUUCAUCUAAAGCUAAAUAUUGGCGAGAGACCGAUAGCGAACAAGUACCGUGAGGGAAAGAUGAAAAGAACUUUGAAAAGAGAGUUAAACAGUACGUGAAAUUGUCAAAAGGGAAGCGUUUGACACCAGUGUUGUUUUUCUGAAAAUCAAUUAAAGAACUGUUUAUGCUAAGUUGUUUAGACUUUAUCAGCUAUCUGCUUAGUUUUGAGCUUUUCUUUGAUGCACUUUUCAGUUAACAAGUCAACAUCAAUUUCUUUUGCUGUAAAAAAGCUUGAGGAAGGUGGCCUGAGAUUCGUCUUAAGUGUUUAUAGCCUCUUGCCUAUGCAGUCGGAGAGAUUGAGGUCUGCAGCGUAGAUCCUUCGGGGCUAAAUGCAUUUGUGCUAAGUUAUAGCAUUUUAUAGACAGCUUGUUGACUAUGAUUUGUCUUGUAGCUUACUCGCUUAUGUUAUUUUACCUACGCUUAGGAUGUUGAGCGCAUGUCUCUCUCU